Leptonychotes weddellii (Weddell seal) is the source of this 1625-nucleotide non-coding RNA. NCBI's taxonomy places the organism in Eukaryota, Metazoa, Chordata, Mammalia, Carnivora, Phocidae. The record is from RefSeq and is a predicted model, not a curated record.
UGCACACAGAUCAGCUCCUUGCAGCCUCGGCUGGACCCCGCGGUGCUCAAGGCAGCCGGGUGAGGACAGACACACACAGCAGUGCUGGAAGCAGUCCCUGGAGACGUCAUGUGGAUCAGCUGGUGGCUCUGGCCCCUCGUGGCCCUCUGCACCGGAGACCAGUUCCGGAAUGAGGCUGAGAGAAUCAUGCGGGACACACCUGUCAUCGACGGGCACAACGACCUUCCCUGGCAGCUGCUAACCAUGUUCAACAACCAGCUCCAGCAAGAGAAGGCCAACCUGACGAGCCUCGCCCAAACACACACCAACAUCCCCAAGCUGAAGGCUGGCUUUGUGGGGGGCCAGUUCUGGUCUGCAUACACCCCCUGCGACACCCAGAACAAAGACGCUGUGAAGAGGAUACUGGAGCAGAUCGAUGUCAUCCACCGCAUGUGCCAGAUGUACCCUGAGACCUUUGUGUGCGUCACCGACAGCGCAGGCAUCCGGCAGGCCUUCCAGCAGGGGCGCAUAGCCAGCCUCGUUGGCGUGGAGGGCGGCCACUCCAUAGACAGCAGCCUGGGCGUCCUGCGGGCACUCUACCACCUGGGCAUGCGGUACCUGACCCUCACCCACAGCUGCAACACGCCCUGGGCUGACAACUGGCUGGUGGACAAAGAUGACAAGGCCCGGAGCCAAGGCCUGUCAGACUUCGGCCAGAGCGUGGUGAAGGAGAUGAACCGGCUGGGGGUCAUCAUUGACUUGGCCCACGUGUCCGAGGCCACCAUGAGGGCGGCCCUGAAUCUGUCCAAGGCUCCCGUCAUCUUCAGCCACUCCUCCGCCUUCAGCCUGUGCCCGCACCGGCGCAAUGUGCCCGAUACUGUGCUCCAGCUGGUGAACCAGACAGGCAGCCUGGUGAUGGUGAAUUUCUACAACGACUAUGUUUCCUGCCGAAAGGAGGCGACCCUGUCCCAGGUAGCAGACCAUCUGGACCACAUCAAGAAGGUGGCGGGAGCCGGAGCCGUGGGCUUUGGUGGGGACUUUGACGGUGUUUCAAGGGUCCCCUCGGGGCUUGAGGACGUGUCCAAGUACCCAGACCUGGUGGCCGAGCUGCUCAGAAGGCAGUGGACAGAGGCGGAGGUCAGGGGCGCCCUGGCCCACAACCUGCUCAGGGUCUUCAAGGCAGUGGAACAGGUGAGCGAUCACACGCAAACUCCUGAGGAGGAGCCCAUCCCACUGGACAAGCUGGAGCAUUCCUGCAGGACCAAGUAUGGCUACUCAGAGGCCCCCAGCUUCCACCACCAGCCAGGGGCCCUGCUGGCCUCCCUUACCACCAUCCUCCUCGGCCUGAGUCUUCUUUGAUGCCCUGGGAUCUGGACCUCCUGGGUCCCUACAGCUCUGGGGAGACUGUGGCCACCAGAGCAGGGAGAUUCCAGGAUGCUGCUCCCCACGCACAAGGCCUGGCCUCUCCUGACCAGGUGAGGAGAAAAAGAAGGGGCGCGGCUCUUCCACUGCAAAGACUAAGGAAAGGUCGAUGGACAGGCGUUCUCAAGAGACCGAGAGGCCUCCAGACACCAAGGCUGCAGAGAGCUGCCAAGGGAAGAAAGGGGCAGCCAAGCCACAGUGGCCUUCUUCAUCUGAAGUCGAAG